RNAcentral lists this ribosomal RNA (497 nucleotides) under uncultured bacterium. RNAcentral's name for it is "partial 16S ribosomal RNA". It matches the Rfam family "Bacterial small subunit ribosomal RNA", at positions 28 to 507 of the family's 1533-position model. The record is from RNAcentral.
GAUGAACGCUGGCGGCGUGCCUAAUACAUGCAAGUCGAGCGAACAGACGAGGAGCUUGCUCCUCUGACGUUAGCGGCGGACGGGUGAGUAACACGUGGAUAACCUACCUAUAAGACUGGGAUAACUUCGGGAAACCGGAGCUAAUACCGGAUAAUAUAUUGAACCGCAUGGUUCAAUAGUGAAAGACGGUUUUGCUGUCACUUAUAGAUGGAUCCGCGCCGCAUUAGCUAGUUGGUAAGGUAACGGCUUACCAAGGCAACGAUGCGUAGCCGACCUGAGAGGGUGAUCGGCCACACUGGAACUGAGACGCGGUCCAGACUCCUGCGGGAGGCAGCAGUAGGGAAUCUUCCGCAAUGGGCGAAAGCCUGACGGAGCAACGCCGCGUGAGUGAUGAAGGUCCUCGGAUCGUAAAACUCUGUUAUUAGGGAAGAACAAAUGUGUAAGUAACUAUGCACGUCUUGACGGUACCUAAUCAGAAAGCCACGGCUAACUACGUG